RNAcentral lists this ribosomal RNA (527 nucleotides) under Schizophyllum commune. RNAcentral's name for it is "LSU rRNA". It matches the Rfam family "Eukaryotic large subunit ribosomal RNA", at positions 136 to 649 of the family's 3401-position model. Lineage: Eukaryota; Fungi; Basidiomycota; Agaricomycetes; Agaricales; Schizophyllaceae. The record is from RNAcentral.
CCGUCCGAGUCGCAUUAGAGAAGCGUUAUCCGUGCUGGACCGUGUAUAAGUCUCCUGGAAUGGAGCGUCAUAGAGGGUGAGAAUCCCGUCUUUGACACGGACUACCAGUGCAUUGUGAUGCGCUCUCGACGAGUCGAGUUGUUUGGGAAUGCAGCUCAAAAUGGGUGGUAAAUGCCAUCUAAAGCUAAAUAUUGGCGAGAGACCGAUAGCGAACAAGUACCGUGAGGGAAAGAUGAAAAGAACUUUGGAAAGAGAGUUAAACAGUACGUGAAAUUGUCGAAAGGGAAACGGUUGCAGUCAGUCGCGUCCGCCGGGGAUCAACCUUGCUUUUGCUUGGCGUAUUUCCCGGUGGAUGGGUCAGCAUCAGUUUUGACCGCAGUUGAAAGGCUGGAGGAAUGUGGCACCUUCGGGUGUGUUAUAGCCUCCUGUCAUAUGCUGCGGUUGGGACUGAGGAACUCAGCACGCCGCAAGGCCGGGAUUCGUCCACGUUCGUGCUUAGGAUGCUGGCAUAAUGUCUGUAACCGACC